CUGUCUAUUUAAAUUGAAAUUACUAAAUUAGGUGAAAAUACCUUUAGCAUGAAUAAAAGACGAGAAGACCUAGAAAAUUUUUUAUAAAGGGUAUAUAUACACUCUUAUUUUGUUGGGGCAACAGAAUAACAUAACAACCUAUUUUAUACUAUACAUAGAAUUUUUUAAAAGGUUAAAUUAAAUUACUCUAGGGAUAACAGCAUAAUUACUUAAUAGUUUGUGACCUCGAUGUUGGACUAAGGAAGGUUAUAUUUAGAAGGUAUAAUAAACCGUCAUGUUCUAACAAAUAAUCCUUACAUGAUCUGAGUUAG
RNAcentral lists this ribosomal RNA (311 nucleotides) under Humboldtiana sp. OM-2006. RNAcentral describes it as "partial 16S ribosomal RNA". Lineage: Eukaryota; Metazoa; Mollusca; Gastropoda; Stylommatophora; Humboldtianidae. The record is from RNAcentral.